This 299-nucleotide unclassified non-coding RNA is filed under the name Chytridiomycota sp. Its description in RNAcentral is "partial contains small subunit ribosomal RNA, internal transcribed spacer 1, and 5.8S ribosomal RNA". The stretch from base 1 to 47 matches the Rfam family "Eukaryotic small subunit ribosomal RNA", at positions 1785 to 1831 of the family's 1831-position model. Lineage: Eukaryota; Fungi; Chytridiomycota. The record is from RNAcentral.
AAAGUCGUAACAAGGUAACCGUAGGUGAACCUGCGGUUGGAUCAUUAAAAAGUGAACGGUCGAGAAACUCGGCAUAUUCAGAUUUACAACCUGCAGCUUUUGCAGGGGUGUAAACCAAACAUUUUGUGCACCGACAACUGUCUCUGGCGGGUGGGCAGCGCAAGCUGCUUGUCAACCAUGAUUUUUCAUGGGUGUGGACAACCCGUCAAACACUUCGUUACUUAUGUAUUUCUUACUUUGCCUGACAUUAUUUGUACAAAAAUACAAAACAACUUUUGGCAACGGAUCUCUUGGCUCUC